Molecule: ribosomal RNA, 460 nt
Filed under: uncultured bacterium
Lineage: Bacteria
Description: partial 16S ribosomal RNA
Rfam family: Bacterial small subunit ribosomal RNA
Source: RNAcentral
CCUACGGGGGGCAGCAGUGAGGAAUAUUGGUCAAUGGACGAGAGUCUGAACCAGCCAAGUAGCGUGAAGGAUGGCUGCCCUAUGGGUUGUAAACUUCUUUUAUAUGGGAAUAAAACGUUCCACGUGUGGGAUUUUGUAUGUACCAUAUGAAUAAGGAUCGGCUAACUCCGUGCCAGCAGCCGCGGUAAUACGGAGGAUCCGAGCGUUAUCCGGAUUUAUUGGGUUUAAAGGGAGCGUAGGUGGAUUGUUAAGUCAGUUGUGAAAGUUUGCGGCUCAACCGUAAAAUUGCAGUUGAAACUGGCAGUCUUGAGUACAGUAGAGGUGGGCGGAAUUCGUGGUGUAGCGGUGAAAUGCUUAGAUAUCACGAAGAACUCCGAUUGCGAAGGCAGUUCACUGGACUGCAACUGACACUGAGGCUCGAAAGUGUGGGUAUCAAACAGGAUUAGAUACCCUGGUAGUC